RNAcentral lists this ribosomal RNA (494 nucleotides) under uncultured bacterium. RNAcentral describes it as "partial 16S ribosomal RNA". It matches the Rfam family "Bacterial small subunit ribosomal RNA", at positions 28 to 507 of the family's 1533-position model. The record is from RNAcentral.
GACGAACGCUGGCGGCGUGCUUAACACAUGCAAGUCGAACGGAAAGGCCUGCUUUCCCUUGUGGGUUGCGGGUACUCGAGUGGCGAACGGGUGAGUAACACGUGAGUGAUCUGCCCCCAACUUGGGUAUAAGCCUGGGAAACUGGGUCUAAUUCCCGUUAGGACUGCAGGGUGGUUCCUGUGGUGGAAAACGAUCUUCUAGAGGUUGGGGAUGAGCUCGUGGCCUAUCAGCUGGUGGGUGGGGUAAUGGCCGACCAAGGAGGCGGCGGGUAGCCGGCCUGGGAGGGUGGACCGCCACAUUGGAACUGGGCUACAGCCCAGAGGCAUGCGGGAGGAAGGAGUGGGGGAUAUUGGACGGUGGGCGGAAGGCUGAUGCAGGGACGCGGGGGGGGGGAUGACGGCCUUCGGGUUGUAGUCUUCUGUCGAGCGCGAGGGAGCCACCUGGUUGGACGGGUGGUGACGGUAGUGGAAGAAGAAGCACCGGCUAACUACGUG